RNAcentral lists this transfer RNA (72 nucleotides) under bacterium. RNAcentral describes it as "tRNA-Thr". It matches the Rfam family "tRNA". Rfam says of the family: Transfer RNA (tRNA) molecules are approximately 80 nucleotides in length. Their secondary structure includes four short double-helical elements and three loops (D, anti-codon, and T loops). The record is from RNAcentral. RNAcentral also lists the same sequence under 1 other name.
GCUGCUGUGGCUCAGCGGUAGAGCACGUCCUUGGUAAGGACGGGGUCAUGGGUUCGACUCCCAUCAGCAGCU